GACGAACGCUGGCGGCGUGCUUAACACAUGCAAGUCGAACGGUAAGGCCCUUCGGGGUACACGAGUGGCGAACGGGUGAGUAACACGUGGGUGAUCUGCCCUGCACUUCGGGAUAAGCCUGGGAAACUGGGUCUAAUACCGGAUAGGACCCUGGGAUGCAUGUCCUGGGGUGGCAAGCUUUUGCGGUGUGGGAUGGGCCCGCGGCCUAUCAGCUUGUAGGUGGGGUGAUGGCCUACCAAGGCGACGACGGGGAGCCGGCCUGAGAGGGUGACCGGCCACACUGGGACUGAGAUACGGCCCAGACUCCUACGGGAGGCAGCAGUGGGGAAUAUUGCACAAUGGGCGCAAGCCUGAUGCAGCGACGCCGCGUGAGGGAUGACGGCCUUCGGGUUGUAAACCUCUUUCAGCACCGACGAAGCGCAAGUGACGGUAGGUGCAGAAGAAGGACCGGCCAACUACGUGCCAGCCGCCGCCGUAA
This 478-nucleotide ribosomal RNA is filed under the name uncultured bacterium. RNAcentral's name for it is "partial 16S ribosomal RNA". It matches the Rfam family "Bacterial small subunit ribosomal RNA", at positions 28 to 523 of the family's 1533-position model. The record is from RNAcentral.